Molecule: long non-coding RNA, 719 nt
Filed under: Pectinophora gossypiella (pink bollworm)
Lineage: Eukaryota; Metazoa; Arthropoda; Insecta; Lepidoptera; Gelechiidae
Description: uncharacterized LOC126380954
Source: RNAcentral
CUCUACAGUCGUUGGUAAUUAUAGCUACCGAUUCCAAAUUCACCUCAGGAGUCGAUGGUAGCUAUACUUACCAAUAGUCGGGGUUCCGUUAGGGUGACCAAUUUUAUGGAUUAACUAGUUUUAAAAGCUAGUAUAGAUUAUAAAAUUAUACUAGUAUUGUGUACUAUAAAAAUCCUUACUAGGUGGUAUUUGCAUCUCUUCCCUAUGAGUUGGUAACAUUAAAAAAACAACUGUUAAAGUCUGACGAGUGUUGGUCGAGUCUACUGUCAACUACUGUGUUUGCGAGUGAGUGUUUUAGACAAGAAAUAUGCCCAGAUGCCCAGGAUAUUGAUUACAGGGUACACCAAAUUUGGUCAACUUUCAUCAUGAGAUGCUAUAGUUCAGCUAUAGAGAGGAGACAGAGAGUAAUUACAAAAAAAAAAAAACGAAUUACCAAACUGUCAGUAGAUGUCCGACAGGAGCUUACGGACAGAAAGCGGCAGGCGCAAUUAGAUUUUGCAAUAAGGCCGCCUUUUGUCUCUAGUGUCUCGAUUUAUUUAUGUUUGGUACGUCAUUUUGUGCAAUCAAGUAUAUUGUAUUGUAAGACUGUCAUUUUAAAUUCUAAUAAAAAAAUAUAUUUUUAAGGUCCGAAUGAUAAGUGCUUGGUAAAAAAUGUAAAUAAAACAAGCAUUCAAUUAUAAAUUGGUUUUAGUUCAUAUUAAUAAACCUUAAUUUUUCUA